CCUACGGGUGGCAGCAGUGAGGAAUAUUGGUCAAUGGCCGGAAGGCUGAACCAGCCAUGCCGCGUGAAGGUCAGUGCCCUAUGGGCGUUAAACUUCUUUUGUGCGGGAGCAAUAAUGGUCACGUGUGGCCAGACGAGAGUACCGUACGAAUAAGCAUCGGCUAACUCCGUGCCAGCAGCCGCGGUAAUACGGGGGGUGCAAGCGUUAUCCGGAAUUAUUGGGUUUAAAGGGUGCGUAGGCUGUGAGGUAAGUCAGCGGGGGAAUGCCCCCGCUCAACGGGGUGAAGUGCAAUUGAUACUGGCUGGCUGGAGUGCGGAUGCGGUGGGAGGAAUGUGUGGUGUAGCGGUGAAAUGCAUAGAUAUCACGCAGAACACCGAUUGCGAAGGCAUCUCACGAAUCCGCGAUUGACGCUGAUGCACGAAAGCGUGGGUAUCAAACAGGAUUAGAUACCCUGGUAGUC
Molecule: ribosomal RNA, 460 nt
Filed under: uncultured bacterium
Lineage: Bacteria
Description: partial 16S ribosomal RNA
Rfam family: Bacterial small subunit ribosomal RNA
Source: RNAcentral